GCCUUGGUGGCUUAGUUGGUUAAGCGUCUGAUUUCGGCUCAGGUCAUGAUCUCCUGGUCUGUGAGUUCGAGCCCCACAUCAGGCU
This 85-nucleotide transfer RNA is filed under the name Felis catus (domestic cat). It matches the Rfam family "tRNA". Rfam says of the family: Transfer RNA (tRNA) molecules are approximately 80 nucleotides in length. Lineage: Eukaryota; Metazoa; Chordata; Mammalia; Carnivora; Felidae. The record is from Rfam by way of RNAcentral.